This 975-nucleotide long non-coding RNA is filed under the name Danio rerio (zebrafish). RNAcentral's name for it is "lncRNA si:dkey-6d5.5 (ENSDARG00000101381.2)". The record is from RNAcentral. Lineage: Eukaryota; Metazoa; Chordata; Actinopteri; Cypriniformes; Danionidae.
AUUUUAGCACAGCAUUGAGUUAAAGUGACCACGUACAGAGGUUUAAGGAAUAAAGUAAGCAAGUCUCAGAGGUAGACACAUCAACCAGUAAGUGUGUAUCAGGAAAAUGACUGAAUGGAUGACUGUCUAGGUUGCAAGCAGGACAUACAUGUUACAGUGAGAGCUAAAUUUGAGAGAGAAGCCACUGCGCACCGUGGAUCUUUACAGCUGCUGAGGAGCUCUUGGAGUAAGACAGAGAUCUGAGACUAAACAACCGAUAAGGAACUGAAUGGCUUGUGAGGGCAGUAAUGUUGACCUGAACAGGGGCCUUCUACAAGUGACUGCCUAAAAAUACUGGAAUCAUCAUCAUCAUUGAAGGUGUCAAAGUUCUUAUAGAUUUUACCAGACUCAGGCAAACUCUGCUUUAACUCCGCCCAAAGCCCCAGCUGGACUGUUUUGGCCAAAGGUAUCCGAUCAGGCCCCGGAAGUGACUGUGGAAACUUGACUAGCCUUGGCACGCUAACAUAAGUCGCGACAGUAAAAACACAGUUCUUGACUACAUUACCAGAGCUUGUGUCCACCUGGGUUUGACCUAUGCAUUUUAACUUUGACAAAGAACAGUGUUUUUACAAGUGACUGUCUGGCAUAACACUGGAAGAUAUUAGAGGGUAGUAUUCCCAUGAACUGCAAUGUCCUCUUUGCUUCAAUGAAUCUGCAUUAUUCUGGCAAAUAAGACCUUUCAUGCAUUAAAUCACAUACAUUUCACUUUAAGUGUAUUAAACAAUAUUGUUUAAUGUCCAGUUGUUUGAAACUGCUGUUUAAAAAAAGAUGAUCAAAGUCCUUGUUAAGAUGAUCAGCUUGUUUAAAUGUACAUGUUUCGUUGUGUAUUAUAUGAUGUAUUGUCUAUUGUGAGAUUGUUGUUAAUCUGUGGCUCCACACUGCUGAACAGGCUCCACUAAUUUAAACUAAAUUUAAUUAAAUUUUACUCAAUCCAUA